ACGCUGGCGGCGUGCCUAAUACAUGCAAGUCGAACGAAACUUUCUUACACCGAAUGCUUGCAUUCACUCGUAAGAAGUUGAGUGGCGGACGGGUGAGUAACACGUGGGUAACCUGCCUAAAAGAAGGGGAUAACACUUGGAAACAGGUGCUAAUACCGUAUAUCUNUAAGGAUCGCAUGAUCCUNAGAUGAAAGAUGGUUCUGCUAUCGCUUNUAGAUGGACCCGCGGCGUAUUANCUAGUUGGUGGGGUAACGGCNUACCAAGGNGAUGAUACGUAGCCGAACUGAGAGGNUGAUCGGCCACAUUGGGACUGAGACACGGCCCAAACUCCUACGGGAGGCAGCAGUAGGGAAUCUUCCACAAUGGACGCAAGUCUGAUGGUGCCCGCCGCGAGAGUGAAGAAGGUCUUCGGAUCGUAAAACUCUGUUGUUAGAGAAGAACACGAGUGAGAGUAACUGUUCAUUCGAUGACGGUAUCUAACCAGCAAGUCACGGCUAACUACGUGCCAGCAGCCGCGGUAAUACGUAGGUGGCAAGCGUUGUCCGGAUUUAUUGGGCGUAAAGGGAACGCAGGCGGUCUUUUAAGUCUGAUGUGAAAGCCUUCGGCUUAACCGGAGUAGUGCAUUGGAAACUGGAAGACUUGAGUGCAGAAGAGGAGAGUGGAACUCCAUGUGUAGCGGUGAAAUGCGUAGAUAUAUGGAAGAACACCAGUGGCGAAAGCGGCUCUCUGGUCUGUAACUGACGCUGAGGUUCGAAAGCGUGGGUAGCAAACAGGAUUAGAUACCCUGGUAGUCCACGCCGUAAACGAUGAAUGCUAGGUGUUGGAGGGUUUCCGCCCUUCAGUGCCGCAGCUAACGCAAUAAGCAUUCCGCCUGGGGAGUACGACCGCAAGGUUGAAACUCAAAGGAAUUGACGGGGGCCCGCACAAGCGGUGGAGCAUGUGGUUUAAUUCGAAGCAACGCGAAGAACCUUACCAGGUCUUGACAUCCUUUGACCACCUAAAAAAUUAGGUUUCCCUUCGGGGACAAAGUGACAGGUGGUGCAUGGCUGUCGUCAGCUCGUGUCGU
Molecule: ribosomal RNA, 1066 nt
Filed under: Ligilactobacillus salivarius
Lineage: Bacteria; Bacillati; Bacillota; Bacilli; Lactobacillales; Lactobacillaceae
Also listed under: 1 other name
Description: bacterial SSU rRNA
Rfam family: Bacterial small subunit ribosomal RNA
Source: RNAcentral